Molecule: ribosomal RNA, 274 nt
Filed under: Dolosigranulum pigrum
Lineage: Bacteria; Bacillati; Bacillota; Bacilli; Lactobacillales; Carnobacteriaceae
Description: partial 23S ribosomal RNA
Rfam family: Bacterial large subunit ribosomal RNA
Source: RNAcentral
GCCGAUGAAGGACGGGACGAACACCGAUAUGCUCCGGGGAACUGUAAGUAAGUUUUGAUCCGGAGAUUUCCGAAUGGGGCAACCCACCAUAUUGAGAAGUAUGGUAUAUACUAAGUGAAUACAUAGCUUAGUGUAAGGAACACGCGGUGAACUGAAACAUCUCAGUAGCUGCAGGAAGAGAAAACAAAUGUGAUUCCCAUAGUAGCGGCGAGCGAAAUGGGAAGAGGCCAAACGAUCAUGCUUGCAUGAUCGGGUUGUAGGACUCAAGAAUGGA